AUUGAACGCUGGCGGCAUGCCUUACACAUGCAAGUCGAACGGCAUCGCGGGAAAGCUUGCUUUCCUGGCGGCGAGUGGCGAACGGGUGAGUAACACAUCGGAACGUACCGGCUAGUGGGGGAUAACCCGUCGAAAGACGGGCUAAUACCGCAUACGCUCUUCGGAGGAAAGCAGGGGACCUUUGGGCCUUGCGCUAGCCGAGCGGCCGAUGUCCGAUUAGCUAGUUGGUGGGGUAAAGGCCUACCAAGGCGACGAUCGGCAGCGGGUCUGAGAGGAAGAUGCCGCACCACGGGACCUGGGACCCGCCCCGACUCCCACGGGAGGCCGCAGUUGGGAAUCUUUGGCAAUGGGGGGCAACCUGGCCCCGCCAAGGCGCGGGGGUUAAGGAGGGCCUUCGGGUUGAAAAGCCUUUUCGGAGGGAAGAAAAUCGGCGGGAGUAAUAACCCUGCUGGUUACGGUACCUGCAGAAGAAGCACCGGCUAACUACGUG
This 490-nucleotide ribosomal RNA is filed under the name uncultured bacterium. RNAcentral's name for it is "partial 16S ribosomal RNA". It matches the Rfam family "Bacterial small subunit ribosomal RNA", at positions 28 to 507 of the family's 1533-position model. The record is from RNAcentral.